Parachaetomium inaequale is the source of this 84-nucleotide non-coding RNA. The record is from the annotation of a GenBank genome assembly. Lineage: Eukaryota; Fungi; Ascomycota; Sordariomycetes; Sordariales; Chaetomiaceae.
GCCCGGCUAGCUCAAUCGGUAGAGCGUGAGACUCUUAAAUCCGAGUUCAUCUCAAGGUUGUGGGUUCGACCCCCACGUCGGGCU